Molecule: ribosomal RNA, 253 nt
Filed under: uncultured bacterium
Lineage: Bacteria
Description: partial 16S ribosomal RNA
Rfam family: Bacterial small subunit ribosomal RNA
Source: RNAcentral
UACGUAGGGUGCAAGCGUUAAUCGGAAUUACUGGGCGUAAAGCGUGCGCAGGCGGUGAUGUAAGACAGGUGUGAAAUCCCCGGGCUUAACCUGGGAACUGCAUUUGUGACUGCAUCGCUGGAGUGCGGCAGAGGGGGAUGGAAUUCCGCGUGUAGCAGUGAAAUGCGUAGAGAUCGGGAGGAACAUCUGUGGCGAAGGCGGCCAUCUGGACCAGCACUGACACUGAGGCACGAAAGCGUGGGGAGCAAACAGG